Molecule: ribosomal RNA, 253 nt
Filed under: uncultured bacterium
Lineage: Bacteria
Description: partial 16S ribosomal RNA
Rfam family: Bacterial small subunit ribosomal RNA
Source: RNAcentral
UACGUAGGGGGCAAGCGUUGUCCGGAUUUAUUGGGCGUAAAGAGCUCGUAGGCGGUCCGUCACGUCGGAUGUGAAAUUCCAGGGCUCAACCCUGGACCUGCAUUCGAUACGGGCGGACUAGAGUUCGGUAGGGGAGACUGGAAUUCCUGGUGUAGCGGUGAAAUGCGCAGAUAUCAGGAGGAACACCGGUGGCGAAGGCGGUUCUCUGGGCAUGAUCUGACGCUGAGGAGCGAAAGUGUGGGGAGCGAACAGG